This 388-nucleotide ribosomal RNA is filed under the name uncultured bacterium. RNAcentral's name for it is "bacterial SSU rRNA". It matches the Rfam family "Bacterial small subunit ribosomal RNA", at positions 28 to 414 of the family's 1533-position model. The record is from RNAcentral.
GACGAACGCUGGCGGCGUGCUUAGCACAUGCAAGUCGAGCGGUAAGGCCCUUUCCGGGGUACGACGAGCGGCGAACGGGUGAGUAACACGUGGGUGACCUGCCCUCAGCUCUGGGAGUAAGCCUGGGAAACGUGGGUCUAAUACCGGAUAUGACUCCAUGACGCAUGUUGUGGGGUGGAAAGCCUUGUGCGGCUGAGGAUGGGCCCGCGGCCUAUCAGCUUGUUGGUGGGGUGAUGGCCUACCAAGGCGACGACGGGUAGCCGGCCUGAGAGGGCGACCGGCCACACUGGGACUGAGACACGGCCCAGACUCCUACGGGAGGCAGCAGUGGGGAAUCUUGCGCAAUGGGCGAAAGCCUGACGCAGCGACGCCGCGUGAGGGAUGACGG